This 1120-nucleotide long non-coding RNA is filed under the name Nicotiana tabacum (common tobacco). RNAcentral describes it as "long non-coding RNA (NTAB_LNC012980)". The record is from RNAcentral. Lineage: Eukaryota; Viridiplantae; Streptophyta; Magnoliopsida; Solanales; Solanaceae.
UGGAUUUAUAUAUAAAGGUAAUUUCUCGUUUAAAUCAUUGUUUUGAAGAGAGAAAAUUCUCUAUUCCAAGACGGAUGACUGUGCAAAUUCUCAUGAGGAGGUCAUAUAGCUAGUACCAGUAGUACAAUAUAAUCAAACCAUGUAAGUACGUACUUUCUGUUUUAGAUUAAAGAGUGUACCUCUAACACUUUGUAUUCAAUAAAAGGAAUCAGAGUUUGAGAUAAAUGAAUACAAGUUAAAGUUUGAAAAGAGAUUAAAAGAAGAAUAUGGUAGUCUGUUGGUGACUGAGGUCUCAAAAUUGGUAUUUACUACUGUCUUUUUAAUUUAGCGUAUUAAUUACUCUUAUAAUAUACACACACAUUUUUGAGAUUUUCGUUUUUCUUUUGGCUUAAUUAUAUGAUAAUCUAUUAAUUGUUUUAUAUUUGGUGUCUAGUACACUUUACUACCACAUAGAGCCUUAUUCGAUGUAUAUAUUUGCUGUCUAGUACACUUCACUACCACAUAGAGCCUUAUUCAACUGAAUGUAAUCUUUUUUUCUUAUAUAACAUAAUUGUAUAUAUGAAAUAUCCCAAAAUGUUUUACAGAUAGUGUUAAACUUUGAACCAAUAUUUCAAAUGUGCAAUCGAUUCUGUAAGAAUUUAAUUUAAAAUUAAGAUUCGACUCUACACACUGUAAACUGAAAAUGAAUACAGUCAGACCUCUCUAUAACAGCAACCCUAUAUAACAGUUAUUCACUAUAAAAAUCAAAUUAUUCUCGGAACUAAUUUUUAUGUCAUGUGAUAAGUCUAUGUCUUCUAUAACAACGUAACACUUCUCUAUAGCAGCCAAAAAAUAUCAAAACAAAAAACUGUUAUAAAUAAAUUUUACUGUUUAUAGACGCAAUGUUGCAGUUUUGGAACCGCAGUUACCAACAUACUAUCAAAUUUCUCAGCCUUAAGUUUCCUCCAAGAUCUGAGGAAUAUGUCCGGUGUUGAAGAGCAGAUUUGAACACGUUUCUCCUCUCUCUUUCUCUCUAGCAUGAAUGAAUUAAUUCUCUUCUCUUUCCAUUAAUCAAAGCUACUAUUUUCUUCUUAAUUUAUGUGGCAUACUUUUCAUUUUAUUCUGUUCUAGUAAAAAUGUC